Molecule: ribosomal RNA, 215 nt
Filed under: uncultured bacterium
Lineage: Bacteria
Description: partial 16S ribosomal RNA
Rfam family: Bacterial small subunit ribosomal RNA
Source: RNAcentral
UACGUAGGGUGCAAGCGUUUAAUCGGAAUUACUGGGCGUAAAGAGCUCGUAGGUGGUUUGUCGGCGUUGUCCGUGAAAUUCCCUGGCUUAACUGGGGGCGUGCGGGCGAUACGGGCAGACUGGAGUACUGCAGGGGAGACUGGAAUUCCUGGUGUAGCGGUGGAAUGCGCAGAUAUCGAGGAGGAACACCGGUGGCGGAAGGCGGGAUCUCGUGG